AGCGAACGCUGGCGGUAGGCCUAACACAUGCAAGUCGAACGGCAGCACAGUAAGAGCUUGCUCUUACGGGUGGCGAAUGGCGGACGUGAGAGGAGUAUAUCGGAAUCUACUCUUUCGGGGGGGUUCACGUAGGGAAACUUACGCCCAUACAGCAUACGACCUACGGGUGAAAGCAGUGGAACUUCGGACCUUGUGCGAUUGAAUGAGCCGAUGUCGGAUUAGCUAGUGGGCGGGGUAAUGACCCACCAAGGCGCGGAUCCGUAGCUGGUGUGAGUGACGGAUCGGCCACACUGGAACUGAGACACGGACCAGACUACUGCGGGAGGCAGCAGAGGGGAAUGUUAGACAAUGGGCGCAAGCCUGAUCCAGCCAUACCGCGUGUGAGAAGAAGGCCUUCGGGGUGUGAAGCCCUUUUGUGGGGAAAGAAAAGCAGCAGGUUAAUACCCCGCUGUUCUGACGGUACCCAAAGAAUAAGCACCGGCUAACUUCGUG
This 492-nucleotide ribosomal RNA is filed under the name uncultured bacterium. RNAcentral describes it as "partial 16S ribosomal RNA". It matches the Rfam family "Bacterial small subunit ribosomal RNA", at positions 29 to 507 of the family's 1533-position model. The record is from RNAcentral.